Molecule: long non-coding RNA, 881 nt
Organism: Passer domesticus (house sparrow)
Lineage: Eukaryota; Metazoa; Chordata; Aves; Passeriformes; Passeridae
Exons: 3
Source: RefSeq, a predicted model, not a curated record
UCUGGCAAGAAGGCUGCAGGGAGGAGAGCUGUCCCAGAGACAGGAACAGGGUUCUGGCUCCAGCCCACCCAUAUGCUGAAGAAGACAGAGAAGUAGAAGCAGCCUUUGGUCUUUGUCCCCAGGAGACUGUUUCCAGUUGCGGAAUAUGGGUUAGUGCUGCUAUGAAAUGGAGUCCCAAGCUCAUUAUGCAAUAAAUCAGAAAAGGCAAGCUACUCUCGUGGGACUGAAAUGCUGCUUUCUGGACCAGAAUGGUUUCAGAAAAGCUAAACAUUAAGCUUUUUAUCUGAACCAAGCUAUGUGAGGCUCUCCCAUCACUUGUUAGUAGCCUGGUUUUUCACCUCCAGGGACUUCAGUUCAAAUCCUGGUUUAGGUCACAGUGAGAAUGUGAGUUUGGUGGUUUGCAUCCUCGUGGACUUCUGCCAACAGUGAAAAACCACCAUAGAGUCCUGCACAACUGGAAAGUUCUGCUGAAGAGAAAGCCUGGGCUGGAGUACCAGAGGUCCUUACAAGCCAGGACAGAAGGGGAACGCCACGGCUGCAUGGAGAGUUGGGAACAGCACCUGACACAAAGAAGUCCAGGGACAAGCAGUAUAAAUUCCCUGCUGGCUUAAACUGGGACAUAUUCAUCACUUGUCCAAACUCAACAAGUUUGUCAAACUAAUUUUGAAACAAUAACUUCACCUACUAUUCCAAAAAAUUUGAUGAGAACCUCAUACUGGGCAAUGGUGACAAGGAAAGCAAUCUCAGGCACUGCACUUUAAAUUAAAUGGCUUGGAAUGUAACCAUCUUCCCACAGAAAAUAGCUGCUAGAGAAACGAUUUGUUGUACAAAAAUUUUUCUGUAUGAAGGUGUAUUUAAAAGUUUGAUACUGUUGAUCUCAA